Molecule: long non-coding RNA, 3267 nt
Filed under: Brassica rapa (field mustard)
Lineage: Eukaryota; Viridiplantae; Streptophyta; Magnoliopsida; Brassicales; Brassicaceae
Description: long non-coding RNA (BRAP_LNC000823)
Source: RNAcentral
CCGAGUCCUCUUGCGGGUCCCUCAAAGAUCCAAGAUCCACGCUGUUAGCCAGCUUGAUGUCGUCCUCUGUUCUUCUCCUGAUGAACACUGGCUUUCCACGCCACUUCACUGUCACAGUAGUUCCAGGCUCGAUGCUACCGAGGUCGACCUCGAGGGAUGCAAGUGCAAGGACAUCUUUACUCGCGGACAUGCUGACAAUGAGCUUCAGGACAAGAAGGCGGAGAACAGAGGCGUAAACAAACCUCCCACCAGACAAGACGAAAUAGGCGAAGGCACGCUUGCUAGGGUCACCAGGUGGGUAACGCUCAUGGUUGUGGUCAUCGUACACAAUCUUCGAGUUAGGUGUCUUGACAGCCUCAACAGUGGCAGGUUCAGAACCAAAACCAACCUCGUUUCCUUGAGUAAGGACUUGAGAAGAAAAACCUGAUAAUAGCAUGAAAAAACAUUAAUAUGUUCACAUCAAAGCAAACUUUUUUUCAAUCACCACAAUCAAUAUGUGACCUUUAACGAGUGCAUGCCGUAUAAGAAUAAUGCAGGAACAUGAGAGACUAAUUGAAACACAUACUAUACAACAACAUCAAAUUCAUUACCCUAAUCAACUGAAAAUCAAAAAUUACAAAUUCAAUAAGCAUAUGAAAGAAACGCUUAAAACUCCAAAGCUAAAAUCGCAAAAAAUAGCUCUUUUGGUGAACAAAAAGUUCCUCAGCAUGCCCUAUUAAACUGCUAUAAAAUACCCCAAACCAAGUAUGCAGCUAGAACAUCCAUCUCCGUAAUAAUGAAGAAAACACAAAGACCAAAACUUUAGAGACCAAGAACCAAUCACAUUAUGAAUAACCCUCAGCUAAAUAUUGUAGAAAAGAAGACCUAAAGAUCCAUCGAAACAAACACUCUACAACAAUACCAAAUUCAGUGAAAACUAAACUACUCUAGAACAUCCAUCUCCCUAAUAAUGAAGAAACAAAAGGAUACACAAAGAUCAAAACUUUAUAGAGUCCAAGAAGCCAAUCAGCCUAUCGUGAAGCUUCUCUCAUCAAAGGAAGGAUAAUCUCAGAACUAAUCAAUCAACUCAAAAUGUUUAUUUCUUGCUGCACGAAAGAAGCAAUCAUACAAGGCAAAGCUAUUCCGGUAAGGAGUAGAAUGAAAGGAAAUGGUACAUCAAUCAAGCUCUAGUACACGGUCCUAGAUUCAUGGAAACCAAACACAACACGUAGAUACGAUAGUAAGAAUCUCAAUCAUUACGGGACUCAAUACAAACAAAACAAACAAAAAAAACGAAUUUUUACAUCAUUCAAUCAAUCAAUCAACACCUGAAAUGAAAAUUUAAAUCAAUCCAGAUGAAGAGAGAGGCUUGUAGAUCUGCAGACCUCUUAUGAGACUCCUGUGGUAAGAAUCGAAACGUGAGAGAUCGGUAGAGGGGACGGAUCUGGGAGGUGAAGAGGAGGAGCCGCCGCCAUCGGAGAGGGUAUGGUCUCGGGAAAGGGCGAAGGAGGAAACGGUGGAAGAUCUCUGCGAAAGAGAAAAGAGCCUCCUUCCUGCUACUCGCAGCAUCUCUGCUCAAUGGGGAAUCUAGGGUUUCGAGAACAGAGUAGUCCUGAGGUUAGGGACGGCCAAUGCAACAGAGCGAAGAGUCUUCCCGUAAAAUUAGUCUUCUAGGAAAGAAAAGGUCAAAGCUUUUUAAUAUUUAUUCAUCCUGAAUAAAAUAUGUUUUUUCAGUUUGAUCUUUGAUGAGAGAUUUUGUUGUUUUACAAAUAUAAUUGUUGUUUAAUUAUAUUUUCGAUACAUUUAAAAAAAAAAAAUUCUUUAGGAUAGUCAAUUAGUCAUUUUUAUGUUUCUGUCACAAAUUAAGAAAAAAAUGACCAAUUUUUUUUUAUUAAAAGGUAAAAAUAUAUUUAUAUCCUAAGACUAAUUAAUUUAGACUUAAAGUUUAGAACUAAAGGAUUGGUUUUGAGCAUAGUGUUUUAAAUUUUAAAAAGUAAAACAGAAAUAUUAAAAAUUUUAAAAUAAAAAUGAAUUAUUUUGGUCAUUUUUUUCUUUGAACGUUAUUUUUGUGACAAAAACUUUAAAUGACUAUUUGAGAGAAUUGAAUUUUUUAACCUGACAAAAAUAUAUAUAUACUGUACACACAUAUUCAUCCAUAUCAAUUUGAGAACAAUGGUGUAUUUUAAAAAUCAAACCCAAACUUUAUUAAGAAGAGGAUCUUGUCUGCAAUGACAAUAACUAAUGAAUAAAAUGUAUUUGGCUUGCCAAAUUAAAAAAAAAAAUCCAAUUAAGCUAUUCAAAAUACAAAACUGUUUUCAAACAAUAAACACAUACAUCGUUUCAUUCACCAGAUGGGACAGAUGCUAAGUCAUACAAUGACAAGUUUGUAUUAUUCAGUAAAACCAAGCACAAUCGUUUACUUGCUGAGAAGACCAAAGUGUGAGGAAAGCGUACUUGCACUUAGCCAGAAAGUAUAUAUAAAAGAAAAACAAAAAAACAAAUGAGGAUCUUUGAGACACAAACACUGUCUGACGUGCGUUUAUUCAUCAACCAAUGAGUAACUUGUUCUCUUCCAAGAAGCUGUAAGUUGGUACUUCCAAGUUGUAAGGUGCAGGACCUUUCCUGAUCCUUCCAGAGAUGUCGUAAUGCGAACCGUGACACGGGCAAAACCAGCCACCAUAGUCACCAGCAUUAGGCAAAGGGAUGCACCCCAAAUGAGUGCAGACCCCAACCACCACCAACCAUUCCGGAUUCUUCACCCUCACGGAGUCCUCUUGCGGGUCUCUCAGAGAUCCAAGAUCCACACUGUUAGCCAGCUUGAUGUCAUCUUCCGUUCUACGUCUAAUAAAGACAGGCUUUCCACGCCACUUCACUGUCACAGUAGUUCCCGGCUCGAUGCUCCCAAGGUCGACCUCGAGGGAUGCAAGGGCAAGGACAUCUUUACUCGCGGACAUGCUGACAAUGAGCUUCAGGACAAGAAGGCGGAGAACAGAGGCGUAGACAAACCUCCCACCAGACAGGACGAAAUAGGCGAAGGCACGCUUGCUAGGGUCACCAGGUGGGUAACGCUCAUGGUUGUGGUCAUCAUACACAAUCUUUGAGUUAGGUGUCUUGACAGCCUCAACGGUGGCUGGGACUUCAGAAGCAAAACCUAUCUCGUUUCCUUGAGUAAUGACUUGAGAAGAGAAACCUGAUAAUAGCAUGAACAACAUUAAUAUAUUAUUUCACAUAAAGGCAAAAACUUUACUUACCGGUCAAGUGUUCUACAACAAUAGUAUUAAGUAACAA